UUCGGAUUGUAAACUUCUUUGAUUAGGGAAGAGGAAGGACGGUACCUAAAGAACAAGCCACGGCUAACUACGUGCCAGCAGCCGCGGUAAUACGUAGGUGGCAAGCGUUGUCCGGAAUUACUGGGUGUAAAGGGCGAGUAGGUGGAUCACUAAGUCAGAGGUGAAAACCCAUGGCUAAACUGUGGGAUAGCAACUGAAACUAGAGAUCUUGAGUACUGGAGAGGGAAGCGGAAUUCCUAGUGUAGCGGUGAAAUGCGUAGAUAUUAGGAGGAACACCAGUGGCGAAGGCGGCUUCCUGGACAGAGACUGACACUGAGGCGCGAAAGCGUGGGGAGCGAACAGGAUUAGAUACCCUGGUAGUCCACGCUGUAAACGAUGGAUACUAGGUGUAGGUGGUAAGAAACCAUCUGUGCCGGAGUAAACACAAUAAGUAUCCCACCUGGGGAGUACAGCCGCAAGGUUGAAACUCAAAGGAAUUGACGGGGGCCCGCACAAGCAGUGGAGUAUGUGGUUUAAUUCGAAGCAACGCGAAGAACCUUACCAGGGCUUGACAUCCCUUGAACUACCUAGAGAUAGGUAGGGCCUACGGGACAAGGAGACAGGUGGUGCAUGGUUGUCGUCAGCUCGUGUCGUGAGAUGUUGGGUUAAGUCCCGCAACGAGCGCAACCCUUAUAGCUAGUUGCCAGCAAUAAGAUGGGGACUCUAGCGAGACAGCCGUUGAGAAAACGGAGGAAGGAAAGGAUGACGUCAAAUCAUCAUGCCCCUUAUGCUCUGGGCUACACACGUACUACAAUGGCUACUACAGAGGGAAGCGAAGCCAGGAGGCGGAGCAAAUCUCAAAAAGGUAGUCCCAGUUCAGAUUGUAGGCUGAAACUCGCCUGCAUGAAGUAGGAAUUGCUAGUAAUUGCAGGUCAGAAUACUGCAGUGAUACGUUCCCGGGCCUUGUACACACCGCCCGUCACACCAUGAGAGUCUGCAACACCCGAAGUCAGUAGUUUAACCGAAAGGAGACACUGCCGAAGGU
RNAcentral lists this ribosomal RNA (1024 nucleotides) under uncultured organism. RNAcentral describes it as "bacterial SSU rRNA". It matches the Rfam family "Bacterial small subunit ribosomal RNA", at positions 417 to 1463 of the family's 1533-position model. The record is from RNAcentral.